This is a long non-coding RNA of Oryzias melastigma (Indian medaka), 735 nucleotides long. RefSeq lists it as uncharacterized. The transcript is spliced from 3 exons. The record is from RefSeq and is a predicted model, not a curated record. Lineage: Eukaryota; Metazoa; Chordata; Actinopteri; Beloniformes; Adrianichthyidae.
AGGUUCGGUAGAAGAACGUCCAUUUCCUUCUAAUUGCUGAUGACCUGAUGGGUCGUUAUGGAGACAGUCGUCCCUGUUUCUGAUGAACGGAACUACUUGCUUCCUGCCGUAGAUCCUGGUGUCUAGGAAACGGAGUGACCAAACACAGUGUGAUGACUAUAGAGACACCCUGAAUGAUGCAUUCGACCAAAGAGCAACGAAUUGAAAUUAUACUGAUGUCUGGAUCGGGAGGCAGUCACAUAAAACAGAUCAUGGGGUUACCGGAGACUGUCUCAUCUACUGUAGGGCAAAGGUAGGGUACAUCCUGGACAGGUCGCCAUCCUGUCCCAGGACACGGAAUCACUACCACACCCUGAGCUGUCAGAAUCCAGUCAUCAAGGGCCAACUGACUUGCCAAUGAAACUCCUUGCUGGCCAAACACAACUGAUCCAGAUAAUCAGAUGAGACAGGAUUUCUGGAAAACCAGCAGUAGGCCGGUCCUCGAGGCUUGGAGUUUGACACCCCUGCUUUAGAGUACACGAUUAACCUAUAAAGCAUGUCUUUGGACUGUUGGAGGAAGACAGAGUACCUGGAGGAAUCCAGGUACUCCUGGUUCAAACCAUGGCCUUCUUGCUCUGUGCAAUCCGUGAUUCUGGAUAAAAUGUAUUAAAAGUCAUUGGUACCUAACUUAUACUAAAUAUUGAGUGUCAUUAAUAAUCCAUGUCUCGUCUCUCCCUUCCACCGGCUCUAAAUAGA